UCGAAUCCUCUGCGAGAGCAGAACGACCCGCGAACUCGUGAUGACGCCCGCGGGGGGCGCGCUCCGCGAUCGCUCCCCCGCGUCUCCGCGGGUGCGGSACCYSUCCCGUUCGMGGGCGAMAAACGAACCCCCGGCGCGGACCGCGCCAAGGAAAUCUAACGAGAGGGCACGCCCCCGGGGCCCCGGACACGGUGCGCUCCGGGACGCGUCGCCUUCUUUCGCUCUGUCCAUGACGACUCUCGGCAACGGAUAUCUCGGCUCUCGCAUCGAUGAAGAAACGCAG
This 283-nucleotide unclassified non-coding RNA is filed under the name Zanthoxylum nadeaudii. RNAcentral's name for it is "sequence contains 18S rRNA gene, ITS1, 5.8S rRNA gene, ITS2 and 28S rRNA gene". Lineage: Eukaryota; Viridiplantae; Streptophyta; Magnoliopsida; Sapindales; Rutaceae. The record is from RNAcentral.